Molecule: long non-coding RNA, 786 nt
Organism: Zeugodacus cucurbitae (melon fly)
Lineage: Eukaryota; Metazoa; Arthropoda; Insecta; Diptera; Tephritidae
Exons: 2
Source: RefSeq, a predicted model, not a curated record
AGUAUAUCCAAAUUGCAUUGAUUUUCUUCGAUCUUCAACAAUUCAAUUUGUGAACGCAACGUUUGCAAUUGAUUUUCCAUUUGUUUGGAUUUCUUUAAAUACUCUAAACGACUAUUUGUGAUUUGCUCCAUUUCCGCAUCGCGCGAUCACUAAAAGUGCAAAUUGACAAAAGUAAAUGAAAUGAAAAGUGAAAGAGAGCCAACUGUCAAAAGUGACUCAAAUCGCAGCAAAUUGUUAUUGUAGGAAUGUAACAUAAAUAGUUGGCGAGUACGCACGCACUGAAUAUACUAAACAAUUUCAGUUGUUCACAAACAAAAACUAAUUUAUUAUUUCACGAAGUUCACAAACAAAUAUGAAUAUAGCUUUUAACAUAAUUGAAAUUAUUUUACAGAGUUUAUGUUUACAAUCUGCUUAAAUAAGACUACAUAAUAAACUGCUAUCAAAUACUAUCCAACAUAUUGCUUUCAUGCAUUUUCUGUAUUGAGUAUGAAUUUACAUUUGUAUGUAUGUACGUGUUGCACAUGAAUUAAAUAGUCGUUUAUGAACCCAAACAAUCACUUAACAGCUACGUAAUUAGUUAUAAUAUAUAUCAUUUUACAUUUUAUAAGUUGUUACGCUAAAUUAUAAACUAUAAGCCUGUUGCUUUAGCUAUGAUAAGCUUGCUUUUGUUUACUGGUACAAUUUGCUUUGUUCUCUUGCACACUCCUCUUUCCAAUUAUUAAACUAAUUUGCGCUUCCACAUUUUGUCAUGCUCUAUACAACACACCUUUUCAAACGUUCAUAGUG